GGGGAUGCACGGAUUCGAUAGGACACAUUCCGCCGACGAGCGUGUCGAGGGCGGCGCCCCCUCGUUAAUCCAGCGCUAAACCAAACGUGCAAACGUUUACCAGAAGGUAAAGAACGUGUUGGCUAACGCCUUCCGCGUUCCGUCCUUCGCCAUGGCGGUCGCCUAAGCGCGCCUGCCCGCCCCCGGACCGCAGUGUCUGCCUGCGCCGGUUCAGGCGUCAUAUCGCAGGUCGCCGCCGUCACUGCUCCACGAUGGCGCGCGUAAUUCGGAGCUUACGCCCGCGGCCUCUCGUACCCUCUGACCGCGAGCGAACAGCCGAGGGUAUCUGCGCACGGAGAACGUCGCCGGUUCCGUAUCCUAGACGCGGGUUCAACUCCCGCCAUCUCCACUU
RNAcentral lists this transfer-messenger RNA (391 nucleotides) under Patescibacteria group. Its description in RNAcentral is "SCSU01 sp004299275 Standard tmRNA". It matches the Rfam family "transfer-messenger RNA". Rfam says of the family: Bacterial tmRNA, also known as 10Sa RNA or SsrA, is named for its dual tRNA and mRNA-like properties. The record is from RNAcentral. RNAcentral also lists the same sequence under 1 other name.